GACGAACGCUGGCGGCGCGCCUAACACAUGCAAGUCGAACGAGCGAGAGAGAGCUUGCUUUCUCAAGCGAGUGGCGAACGGGUGAGUAACGCGUGAGGAACCUGCCUCAAAGAGGGGGACAACAGUUGGAAACGACUGCUAAUACCGCAUAAGCCCACGACCCGGCAUCGGGUAGAGGGAAAAGGAGCAAUCCGCUUUGAGAUGGCCUCGCGUCCGAUUAGCUAGUUGGUGAGGUAAUGGCCCACCAAGGCGACGAUCGGUAGCCGGACUGAGAGGUUGAACGGCCACAUUGGGACUGAGACACGGCCCAGACUCCUACGGGAGGCAGCAGUGGGGAAUAUUGCACAAUGGGGGAAACCCUGAUGCAGCGACGCCGCGUGGAGGAAGAAGGUCUUCGGAUUGUAAACUCCUGUUGUUGAGGAAGAUAAUGACGGU
This 435-nucleotide ribosomal RNA is filed under the name uncultured bacterium. Its description in RNAcentral is "bacterial SSU rRNA". It matches the Rfam family "Bacterial small subunit ribosomal RNA", at positions 28 to 458 of the family's 1533-position model. The record is from RNAcentral.